RNAcentral lists this ribosomal RNA (402 nucleotides) under uncultured bacterium. RNAcentral's name for it is "bacterial SSU rRNA". It matches the Rfam family "Bacterial small subunit ribosomal RNA", at positions 355 to 747 of the family's 1533-position model. The record is from RNAcentral.
UGGGGAAUAUUGGACAAUGGGGGCAACCCUGAUCCAGCAAUGCCGCGUGUGUGAAGAAGGCCUGCGGGUUGUAAAGCACUUUCAGUAGGGAAGAAAAGCCUGGGGCUAAUACCUCCGGGUCUUGACGUUACCUAAAGAAGAAGCACCGGCUAACUCCGUGCCAGCAGCCGCGGUAAUACGGAGGGUGCGAGCGUUAAUCGGAAUUACUGGGCGUAAAGCGCACGUAGGCGGUCUGGUAAGUCGGAUGUGAAAGCCCCGGGCUUAACCUGGGAAUUGCAUUCGAUACUGCCUGACUGGAGUAUGGGAGAGGGAAGCGGGAAUUUCCGGUGUAGCGGUGAAAUGCGUAGAUAUCGGAAGGAACAUCAAUGGACGAAGGCAGCUUCCUGGCCCAAUACUGACGCU